This is a long non-coding RNA of Halichondria panicea, 1311 nucleotides long. RefSeq lists it as uncharacterized. The record is from RefSeq and is a predicted model, not a curated record. NCBI's taxonomy places the organism in Eukaryota, Metazoa, Porifera, Demospongiae, Suberitida, Halichondriidae. The transcript is spliced from 3 exons.
UAUGAGCUUUGGAAAUCCAGAAAAAAUCACCGUGAACUGUGCUUCACUACAGUGUUAAUUGAGGUACAUGACCACAAAAAUGUUAUUAUCAGCCUGGCUUCACCGUGUGGUCAGAGAAAGUUUACACAACAGAAACCUUUCACUAGAAGAAAGAAAAUUAUGAUGCCAGGACUGUAAAAAUACAGCGACCUCUAAUGAAGAUCCACACUCAGAAUCUGAAACUGACAGUGACAGACGAUAAUAUUAUGUCAACAAAUCACAGUGGAUGAUGGUAGUGCUACAAACAUAGAUUACACAGAUCUGGACAGCUUGAUCUAGCUUAUACAGUACAUCAUUAUUCUCAUACAUACCUUGUGUUGUUGUUGUUUUCAUUCAUGCUGCAGUUGGCUACACAUGACUGAGUCUUGUUGUAGUUUUAUGACAAUUUAUUACAUCAUCAUUAUGAAUAUCAUUAAAAUAUUUGAGGUUUACAUUACGUAAUGCUUCCUGUCUUGUCUUAGAAAUACUGGAAUGUUGGGGGUCUUAGGGCAGACUGUUAGUAAGUAACUUUCUUGGAAAGAAUUUCCUCCUGGUACAGACAUGUUCAGAAGAUUCUGGAUACAGCCUCUAGUCGACUAGAAUCCGGACCACGGGCGUUUUUCUCAGAAUUGCGUUUGCUUCCAAGAGGCAGAUGACCUCUCAGGCUCCACUUUUCUUACCUACGCAAUUCCGCCAUCUUUAAAUGACUGCCACAGCAACGCACAUGGCAACUUAUGAGGUGGGCGUGGCUGUGACAUCGAUAAACACAAAACCUCCUUUCUUCAGCUCAGCUCUCCAUUCUCUCACUUCAGGUACGUAUGCUAUUUAUGCUAGACGUAUGCACUGACUGGAUGUACCAUAGGCCUCCAUGCUUUUGCACUUGGAAGUACAUCUACAGUAUAACCAUAGAUAGUAGAGGGGAGGGAUUGGAAACAUCUCAGGUGACCAAUGUAUUGCCCUAGAGAAUUCUGACACCAUGCGUGUUGCAUUCCGCAAGUAUUGAUUGCGAUUGAUUGCGAGCCAGAUGCAAAGACAAAAGAGAAGAAAGUGAAGAAAACUGCAGGGUACUCAGAAAAUCAGAAAAUCUGCCAAGACCCUUUUAUGCCAACGGCAGAGGCGAGGGACACAUGAUAACCCCACUGUUAUGUAUUAUGAUUAGUAAAUUCUUUUGCAAGAGCUAAACAGUGACCGAUGACGAGAUUACACCAUUGCCUAAAAGGGCGUCAGGCUCAUAAAAAUUAUGUUUUGUGUUUGUAAACAUUUUUAUGUAAACAUCAAAAUUGUUUGAUUGUG